This 245-nucleotide ribosomal RNA is filed under the name uncultured bacterium. RNAcentral's name for it is "partial 16S ribosomal RNA". It matches the Rfam family "Bacterial small subunit ribosomal RNA", at positions 524 to 768 of the family's 1533-position model. The record is from RNAcentral.
UACGGAGGGGGCGAGCGUUAUUCGGAAUUAUUGGGCGUAAAGGGCGCGUAGGCGGCUUGGUAAGCCAAAGGUGAAAUCCCUCAGCUCAACUGAGGAAUUGUCUUUGAAACUGCCUGGCUCGAGGCCGGGAGGGGGUAGCGGAAUUCCCAGUGUAGCGGUGAAAUGCGUAGAUAUUGGGAGGAACACCGGUGGCGAAGGCGGCUACCUGGACCGGUUCUGACGCUGAUGCGCGAAAGCGUGGGGAG